This 627-nucleotide ribosomal RNA is filed under the name Escherichia coli. RNAcentral describes it as "bacterial SSU rRNA". It matches the Rfam family "Bacterial small subunit ribosomal RNA", at positions 1 to 615 of the family's 1533-position model. Lineage: Bacteria; Pseudomonadati; Pseudomonadota; Gammaproteobacteria; Enterobacterales; Enterobacteriaceae. The record is from RNAcentral.
UUAAAUUGAAGAGUUUGAUCAUGGCUCAGAUUGAACGCUGGCGGCAGGCCUAACACAUGCAAGUCGAACGGUAACAGGAAGCAGCUUGCUGCUUCGCUGACGAGUGGCGGACGGGUGAGUAAUGUCUGGGAAACUGCCUGAUGGAGGGGGAUAACUACUGGAAACGGUAGCUAAUACCGCAUAACGUCGCAAGACCAAAGAGGGGGACCUUCGGGCCUCUUGCCAUCGGAUGUGCCCAGAUGGGAUUAGCUAGUAGGUGGGGUAACGGCUCACCUAGGCGACGAUCCCUAGCUGGUCUGAGAGGAUGACCAGCCACACUGGAACUGAGACACGGUCCAGACUCCUACGGGAGGCAGCAGUGGGGAAUAUUGCACAAUGGGCGCAAGCCUGAUGCAGCCAUGCCGCGUGUAUGAAGAAGGCCUUCGGGUUGUAAAGUACUUUCAGCGGGGAGGAAGGGAGUAAAGUUAAUACCUUUGCUCAUUGACGUUACCCGCAGAAGAAGCACCGGCUAACUCCGUGCCAGCAGCCGCGGUAAUACGGAGGGUGCAAGCGUUAAUCGGAAUUACUGGGCGUAAAGCGCACGCAGGCGGUUUGUUAAGUCAGAUGUGAAAUCCCCGGGCUCAACCU